Molecule: long non-coding RNA, 1613 nt
Organism: Cervus hanglu yarkandensis (Yarkand deer)
Lineage: Eukaryota; Metazoa; Chordata; Mammalia; Artiodactyla; Cervidae
Source: Ensembl
AUGUGCUUGAUUUGUUCUGCAGCCCGACUUCAUGUAAUCUUUGAUGUCUUUCUUGUGGGCUUCUUUUGUGAAGCUGGUUUCCUGCAAGUGAUGGUUCAUGACGACAUCGACACUAGUGAUUAUGUGCUUUCGGUACCUUCGCCCUCGGGGCCUUCAGCGGAGGCAUUUCCACCAGUGAGCGAGUCAUCGAUGUUACCCUCUGUCCUACUGACCAUCUUCCCCUCCACCUCCAGACACAGCCCGUCCGCGACCUCCCGGAUCUUAUAGAUGUUGGGGAACAUCUCGUCAUGGCUAAUGAGGUCCCGGUAGACGAUCAUGAUGGCGGCUGGAGGGAGGCGACAGCGGCGCUGGCUUAGCAGGAGCCCGGAGCUAGGACAAAUGUUCCCAUGGGGAUUCCCCCGGAUUCCUUUCUGUCCUUGGCUGCUCGUCUGGUGGUCUCAUCAGCCAGCCUAUUUCCUUGAGUCUGUGGGGUGUCUUCCUUCUGGUGCCCAUGGCAGUGCAUGACUGCUACCUCCGUGGGGCUCCAGACAGUGUCUAGCAGGGUCAGGAUCUCCUCCUUAUUCUUAAUGUCCUUUCCAUUGGCUGUUAGAAGGCCUCUCUCCCGGUAUAGCGCCCCAUGUACAUGGAGUGUAGCGAAAGCAUACGGGGAGUCGGUGUAGACAUUCACUCUCUUACCAUUUGACAACUGCAGUGCCUGGACUAAGGCGCAUAACUCUGCUUCUUGGGCUGCCCAGUGCUGUGGUAAGGAGCCGGCCUCGAUAACAGUCCUCUGUAACUACAGCAUAGCUUGACAGUUGCUGUCCUAGCUUCAUCAGACUGGUGCCAUCAGUAUACAGAGUCCAGUCAGGAUUUGAAAUUGGCCUGUCUCAGAGGUCUGGACGGCUAGCAUAGACCUCCUCUAAGACUUCCUUGCAAUCGUGGGUAGGCCCACCUUCUCCCUUUGGGAGAAGCGUUGCUAGGUUUAAACCCUGGCAAAGCUCGAUACGGAGGUUGGGGUUUUCACAUAGCAGUCCCUGGUAUUGAAUAAUCCGGGAACUUGACAGCCAUUUGUGGGGGUCUCCUAGAAGGAGGGAGUUGACUUUAUGUGGGACUUUUACGAUCAGGUCCUGGCCAAAAGUCAGCUUUGUGGCUUCACGUACCAGUAAGGCGGCCGCGGCCACCGCCCGCAGAGAGCCAGGCCAACCGGUGGUGGCAACGUUAUCAAGUCGCUUUGAAAGGUAAACUACUGGCCUGUCCCUCGUUCCCAAGGUCUGAGUCAAAACCCCCAUGGCUGUUUUAUCUUUCUCGGUCACAUAUAAGGUGAAUGGUUUGGUGAGGUCUGGCAAUCCCAAGGCGGGGGCGGAGGUGGUUGCUAGUCUUAGCUCCUCAAAGCCUUCCUGCUGUUUCUCAGACCAACUUACUGAAUUUUCUUCAGGCCCUGUCAGGAGCUCAAAUAGGGGCUGGGCUAUUUGAGAAUACCUUGGAAUCCAAAUCCUGCAGAAUCCAGUGGCCCCUAGGAACUCCCUGACUUGCCGCCGAGUCUUAGGCGUGAGGAGCCUCAGAAUUACUUCCUUUCUAGAUUGGUCUAGUAACCUUGUGCCUUCCCUUAAGACAAACCCCAAAUACCUUACCUC